RNAcentral lists this transfer-messenger RNA (355 nucleotides) under Synergistaceae. RNAcentral's name for it is "Caccocola faecipullorum Standard tmRNA". It matches the Rfam family "transfer-messenger RNA". From Rfam's summary of the family: Bacterial tmRNA, also known as 10Sa RNA or SsrA, is named for its dual tRNA and mRNA-like properties. Its role is to liberate the mRNA from a stalled ribosome. RNAcentral also lists the same sequence under 2 other names. The record is from RNAcentral. Lineage: Bacteria; Thermotogati; Synergistota; Synergistia; Synergistales.
GGGGACGACAGGUUUCGACAGCAGGCGGAGGGUCGGGGGGAGCGUGCCGAGGAUGGGGAAGCCUCGUUAAUCCGGCUCCGAAAAAAUAAUUGUCGAAGACAAUUACGCACUCGCUGCUUAAUUAAAAGCAGCGCGCUCUCCGGGGCUUCCGCCGUCGGGUCCCGAUAGAGCGUCACAAAGACGGCUGGGAUUACGGUUCCGCCUUUCGGCCGGCGUCCGAGAUCCAGAGAGGCUAGGGAAAGAGUAUCCUGUCUACGGGAGCCUCCGCCCCGAAUUUUAAAGCAUAGACUACGCACGUAGCGCCCUCCAGAUUGUCCUCUGUUGGACCGGGGUUCGAUUCCCCGCGUCUCCACCA